CCCCUCUCUCUCCCCCCUAGUGUCACAAUAAUAACAAAGCAGUUUGUGUAAUUCAAAACUCAGGUUUUUUUCAAAAGGUUUCUUUACUCGGUGAUGCAUCUUAAAUUAAUUGCAGAAAUCCCAAGCAACGCUCAUAUUUUUCUCCAAAUCCGAUUGUUGCGGUCUUGUUUUCAGAGCAGUUCGGUGUCGGAAGUUGGAGAAAAUUACCGAGGAACCGGGAGAUAAAUAGCACACAUAUUUCAACAUUAGUAACCGGAGGAAACGGCCAUAUCAGCAUGCUAAGAUACGCGGUCCGACAAGUGGCCCGGAAGAGGCCACCUUUACAAUAUUGUUUCGAGAGUUACCUCGCAGACAGACGUUUAAGCUCAUACAUUUGAAUUCGAUUUUCUUGUGUAAAUUUUCAAAUCUAAAUACGUUGGAAUUGCAUAGCAUACUAGCGCCGCCUGAACAACUUAUUGGUUCAUGAAAACUGACGUUUUGCCAAAUCGCCUUCUACCUCACCCGCAUUUGCCACCCACCGAAUCAUGGAAGCAAAACAGAAACACUCGACAAAGAUAUCCCCGCACGGCCGCAAAAAUCAUUUUUAUCUGAACGACUUUACAAUUGACUUUUACAAUGUAGCUAUAAGAAUUACUUUACUUGCAGCUCAUGCCUCGAUGUAGUUGACGUUGGCUCUUUUAGAUCCUUUCACAUGCGUGGUUUUUGUUUUGGCGAUUGUGAUUCGAAAACAUGUGCCUGGAACGAAAAUCGUAGAUUUUUUCAUUGCAAAACCAACGAAUAGUCCAGUCAAGUAGGGCAUGAAAAGGAAAAAUCAAAAAUGAAAUAACCCCUUCCUCGACCCCUUCUGAGUAACAAAUAUCAUCUCUGGCGUGCUGAGCAUUUUUCGAUUCAUGUUUGAACAACGCGUGUGUGCGUGAUUCAUGCAUUUUUAUUGAGAAUCCCAUCGAGCAGAUCCGAUCAAGAAACUAAAAGAUUUUGAUGAAAUC
This is a long non-coding RNA of Armigeres subalbatus, 986 nucleotides long. RefSeq lists it as uncharacterized. The transcript has 3 exons. NCBI's taxonomy places the organism in Eukaryota, Metazoa, Arthropoda, Insecta, Diptera, Culicidae. The record is from RefSeq and is a predicted model, not a curated record.